GAUGAACGCUGGCGGCGUGCCUAAUACAUGCAAGUCGAGCGAACAGACGAGGAGCUUGCUCCUCUGACGUUAGCGGCGGACGGGUGAGUAACACGUGGAUAACCUACCUAUAAGACUGGGAUAACUUCGGGAAACCGGAGCUAAUACCGGAUAAUAUAUUGAACCGCAUGGUUCAAUAGUGAAAGACGGUUUUGCUGUCACUUAUAGAUGGAUCCGCGCCGCAUUAGCUAGUUGGUAAGGUAACGGCUUACCAAGGCAACGAUGCGUAGCCGACCUGAGAGGGUGAUCGGCCACACUGGAACUGAGACACGGUCCAGACUCCUACGGGAGGCAGCAGUAGGGAAUCUUCCGCAAUGGGCGGAAGCUUGACGGAGCAACGCCGCGUGAGUGAUGAAGGUCUUCGGAUCGUAAAACUCUGUUAUUAGGGAAGAACAAAUGUGUAAGUAACUAUGCACGUCUUGACGGUACCUAAUCAGAAAGCCACGGCUAACUACGUG
Molecule: ribosomal RNA, 497 nt
Filed under: uncultured bacterium
Lineage: Bacteria
Description: partial 16S ribosomal RNA
Rfam family: Bacterial small subunit ribosomal RNA
Source: RNAcentral